CGCCCGUCAAGCCAUGAAAGCUGGGGGUGCCUGAAGUCCGUAACCGUUAAGGAGCGGCCUAGGGCAAAACUGGUGAUUGGGGCUAAGUCGUAACAAGGUAGCCGUACCGGAAGGUGCGGCUGGAACACCUCCUUUCUGGAG
RNAcentral lists this ribosomal RNA (141 nucleotides) under Hoylesella timonensis. RNAcentral's name for it is "Prevotella timonensis partial 16S ribosomal RNA". It matches the Rfam family "Bacterial small subunit ribosomal RNA", at positions 1391 to 1533 of the family's 1533-position model. The record is from RNAcentral. Lineage: Bacteria; Pseudomonadati; Bacteroidota; Bacteroidia; Bacteroidales; Prevotellaceae.